AUUUUAGAGUAAAGGUUGACAUGAUCACGUCCUGUACAAAUAUCCUGAAUUUUGAUAGUCAUUACUUGAUCAAAGUAAAUGAUCCUUGCAGCAGCGCUAGCAGAUCUGGUGGACUGCCCCAUUUUUCAGGUUCCAUGGAUUAAAGAAGCAUAUGUUGCACGAGUCACCUUCAGACCACUUGCUAUCAUCUCAUCACGCAAUUCAAACGCCUUAGACAUUUCUCCAGCAAUGCAGCAACCAUAAAUGAAAAGGUUAUAAGCCACUGCAUCAGGCUUCAGACCAUUAGUCACCAUGGAUUCCCACAAGCCUCUUGCUCCUAACAGAUCACCCCUCCUACAGAAUUCAUAAAUGAUAGUUGAGUAACUUACGCAAUCUGGGAA
RNAcentral lists this unclassified non-coding RNA (380 nucleotides) under Hevea brasiliensis (rubber tree). Lineage: Eukaryota; Viridiplantae; Streptophyta; Magnoliopsida; Malpighiales; Euphorbiaceae. The record is from RNAcentral.